This is a long non-coding RNA of Zingiber officinale, 191 nucleotides long. RefSeq lists it as uncharacterized. The record is from RefSeq and is a predicted model, not a curated record. Lineage: Eukaryota; Viridiplantae; Streptophyta; Magnoliopsida; Zingiberales; Zingiberaceae. The transcript is spliced from 3 exons.
UGCCGAUCCAUAAUUUCUCUGCCCUAGCCGAAUCUUGAAGUCCAGGCAGUGAGGGAGUGUUCUACAGCCACUUACUGUUGUUCCAGCAGCCGACAGCGAUAUCGACUGCAAAUCUUGAUCUAGCAGUAACAAGACGAUCUCCAGUGGUGCUAUCGACAGAAGCUUUAGAGCAGUGAGGACUUUGACGCGAG